GGUCCACCCCACAGAGCAGGGCUUGAGGGUCUUAAUUCAGCUGGUGGCUGCCUACUCGCACUGUUUAUGAUCUGCUUGGGCUCCCAUCAUUUCUUGCCACCGUGGCAGUGCCUGCUCUGUCAUCAUGCCACAGGUACCCAUCUGGAAUAUGUGGCCAUGGGCACUGUGGCAGCAUCUGAGGGCCACAUACCCCUCCCUGCCAGGCUUCUGUGAGGUCCCUGUGGAUUCCAAGGUCCUUUCUGCUCUUGGGCGACCUUGGUCAUUGCUUUCUUCUGGACACUGCUUCAGGAGUGUCCUUGGGGAGGCUCAGUCCCAGGUAUUGUCUUGGGGGAACGCCAAUCUUGGGCAUGUAGAACUAGAGACACCCUCAAUCCUGUGUGGUCAGAGUGGGUCUGAGGGAGAGACAGGGGUAAGGGGAACUCAGAGGGGAAGCAAGGCGGGAAGGUCUGCAUACCUUCACCCUCUGGGGAGCGGGAGGGGGGGCUGUGUGGACUGGCCAGGACAUGACAGGACAUGGGAAGGAGCCCCAGUACAAACCGUGAGGCCACACUGCUGUUCCCGUGGGCACCUCCCUGAGAUUGGAACGACUCCCAGGAGAAGAAAGAUCUGACUUCUCAAGCCAAGGUCGGCCUCUCUGGGGGCAGGGAGCAUGUCUUCUCCCUGUGUCCUGGGAGGGACCCUUGGGACAUGGAGAGUCUUCCGGGAUCCCUCUGCCCCCAAGGGAAGGAGCAGGAAGAAACAGAGAUCCCCUCCAUCUAUGCAGAGUCUGGACACACUGACCACUGCAGAGGGUGCAGNUUUUUCUGUGACACCCACCUCUGGUGGGUUGGUUCCUUCCACCCUAUUCUACAAUCUUGUCUGCUCUAAGUUCAUUGCUCUUCUGCUUGAGGGCCCAGGAAUCUCCUUGAUGGGACUCUACCCCAGCCUAGCUCCCUUCACUUGCUUCUGUUUCUUCUACUUCCAGACAGGCCAGGCUGAGCAGGGGAAUAAGCAGCAUGCAACAGAAACCUUAGCUUUAAGGCCCAAAUUCUGGGUGACUCGACUCUGGGAAGGCACCCAGCUCUCUCUGGCUGCCAAGGUGUUUUUCAGUUGUGAGAGGUGAAAACUCAACCCUAUGUGGUCUAAUCAAAGAAAGGAAAUCUAUUUACAGUGAAGUCCAGGGUGCAUUGUCUUCAGGCAUGGCUGGAUCCAGGUCUCAAAUAACAUCAUCAAGAAUCUGUCUUCAUUGUUUCGGUUCUGUUUUCCUCUGUGAUGGCUUCACUUUCAUUCUGGUAAAGAAACUCAACCCCCAUGGGAAAGCGAGCUUAUCCCCAACAGUUCCAGGGGAAAAGUUGCAAAACUCCCUUUAAUUUUCUUGGGCUGCAUCCCAGGGUCAGUUUCUCAUUUAAUCACUGUGGCUCUGAUUACCCAGUCUUGGCAAGUGUAGGUUCUCAGAGCUAUUGUUUUGGGGCUCAAAGCAGUUUGAUGGCUAAGAACUCAGGUCCUGGAAUUCUGAUGGACUUGGGCUCAGAUCUCUGGCAGGCCACUUACCAUCUGGGAGACUGGGGGCAAAUGACUUCAUCAUUCAGAGUCUCAGUUUUCUUAUAUGGAAAAUGAGGAGAGAGGAGAAGCCAGGUGAAUGUGGUGUUUGGGAUCCAAAUGGGGGAAAGACCCUUUUUGUUCCUGUAACCAAAGAGCCCCAAUUGUUGUACCAAGGGUCUGGGGAAGGAUUCCAGGAGGAGGCUGAGCUGCUGGAAAGGAUGCACAGGGCUCAGGUCCGGGUCUUUGCUCUGCAGGGUCCUUCCAUCUGGCCAUCUAGAAAGACUGUGAAUGGGGUCCUUUUUGUUUCUCUUCAGAUUCAGAGCUCAGAGGAAGGCCUUCUGUACACACAAAACCUGGCGAGCACCUAUGGGGAUGUGUGCUGCUGGUGGGUGGGUCCCUGGCAUGCAGUCAUCCGAAUCUUCCACCCCACCUGCAUCAAGCCUGUGCUCUUUGCUCCAGGUAGACACCCCACGGCCACGGCUUGCUCACUGCUGAAGUCUCUGUGCUGCCGACAGCGUGGUGGGUGACCCAGAUGCAGCUGUGGGGAUGCCACUGCCUCUGUCUUGCCUGGACCCCACAUGCCAGAUCUCUGGUCACGUCUGCUCACACCUAGGGUGUGAUUGUGCAAUGUCUGCUGUAUGGCCAGGUCUGGUCACGUUUAUGUUUCCACCUGUGUUCUGGUUACGGCCGAUAUACUUUAUACCUGGUUAUACCUGGCAUAUGGUACAUGGUAACCAUGAAGAUGGCCUUAGUCAUGUCUGGGGCUCACCUGUGGCCAAGGAUAUUCAAGGCAUGUGGGGAGUGUGUCUGGGUUUUUUUUUUGUUUUUGUUUUUGUUUUGUUUUGUUUUUUGUCUGGGAUGCUAUUUGAGAUUGUCUGGUUCUCCUGUGGGUUGUGUCUGGACCAUGUUUGGAGUUUGUCUGAGGUCUGGAACCUUGAGUCCUUCUGAGAAAUGCUGAGGCCUUAUGUGAGCCUUGUCCAGGGCAGGUCUUAGGAUAUGGCUGGGUCAUACCUGGUCCAUGCCUGGGACAUUAGUGGGAUCGUAUUUAAGUCCUGCCUGGGACCAUCUGUGAGACAGACUGAGGUCGUGUCAGAUUGUCUCUGGGUCCAUGUCAGAGGAUGCUGCAUCAGGUCAGUGUGUGUUAUACAUGUUGUUUCAUGCCAGGGCAUGUUAACAUGUGUUGGGGCCAUGUCAGGAGAUGUCAGAGAGUUCUGGGACAGAUGCGAUGUCCUAGGUCCCUGUAAAGGCAUUUUGUGGAGUGCUGAUUUGUGCUCAGGUGUUUCGAACAUGUUGGACUGGCACAACAUGUGUUGUGCCACAUUUUAGGGAGCAUCUAAGUACAUAGGGGUGUGUCCAUGGGCUCUGCCUUUGCUCUGCUCUGUGCUGCAGCCUGGUAUGGUGCCCCCUCACCUCCCCACUCUGUUUCCUCCGCUCUUGUCCCCAUUCCUGCUAAGCUGGUCUUGGAGGGAGUAUGAGUUCCCCUGUCUGGGCCCUCCACUCCCCCAACCCAAACCCCUCCCCUCCCCCUCCCCAUGACCCCUGAUGGUCCUCAUUCGUGUCAGCUGCCAUUGCACCCAAGGACGCGGUCUUCUACAGCUUCUUGAAGCCCUGGCUGGGUGAGUAACUGUGGGUGAAGGGGACUGGAGACAACCUUGGGGACCCAGGGGGAAGAAGUGCCUUUGCCCACUUCUUGCGGCUGCCUCUACUAGGGGAUGGGCUCCUGCUGAGUGCUGGUGACAAAUGGAGCAGCCAUCGCCGCAUGCUGACACCUGCCUUCCACUUCAACAUCCUGAAGCACUAUGUGAAGAUUUUCAAUGACAGUGUAAAUGUCAUGCAUGUGAGUCUUUUGAACCCAGGGUCCCAGCUGAAGUCUUGGGGGCGAUGGAGGCUCUGAGAUAUCUUGUCUGGAAUUCUGGCUCUCCUAGACAGCUUUGGGGCCAUUGCUCUUCCUCUCUGAGCCUCAAUUUUCUCAGCUAUAUAAUGGGAAUAAUGGUCCCCACUAUGCAGGGUAGUCAAGAUAAUGUAAUGUAUUCCUGUCCCUGGCACAUAGCAGGUGCUCAGAAGGUGUUAAUUUCAAUGUUUCCCUUACAAAGAAGCCUUCGAACCUGAGACCCACUUGGUUAUCCAUGAAGGUUGCAUAGUAGUUAUGCUGAAUUAACGAACCACUUCCAAACUCAUUGGUCUAAAGCAAUAAGGGUUUAUUAUUGCUAACCUGUCUGUGAGUCAGUUGGUCUUCUGGACAUGGAUGGGAUCACAUGUGCCUGUGAUCAGCUCUGGGUCAGGUAUGUACUUUGCAGAUCUGGGCUCAGCCCUCUUACACGUUCGAGGAGUGGCUGACUGCAGGCUGAUCUAGGGCAGUCUCAGCUUGGACAACUGAACUUUCUUUAAUGUGAUUCUCUCCCUCCAGAAGGCAUCUCAGGCUUGUUCCCAUGGCUGAGGCAGGGUUCCAGGAGACUGAGAGGAGGCUUCAAUGCCUCUUGAGAUCUAGGUUUAAGAUGAUCACCUUGUCAUUUUUGCUAUGGUCGACUGGCCAAAGCAAGUCAAAAGGCCAUUAUAGAAUCAAAAGGUGGUGAAAAAGCAUCCACCUUUUAAUGGGAGUUGCUGAAAAAUCACAUUGAAAAGGUGUGGAUAUAAGGAAGUGAAGAAUUGGAGGUGGGGGUUUUGUGAAGGGCCUGGGAUUAUUUUCACACUUGCAAGCUAAGGAGUGAGAUUGUUAUGGUUUUGUGGAUUGUGCCAGAAGACACGAGACUCCUGUGUCAGAGACAAAGAACAAUUUAUUACUCAUAGCACAGCAAGCACACGUACUUCUUGGUUUGCAUUCUUUCUCUAAGUCACCAAAUCCUGUGAGGAUAACAUAGGUGGGCUUCAAUGCUUAUGCAGUAUGUUGCAUUACAGGAGAGGCAUACCAGGUUCAGGGACUCUAUGAUGUCUGGUAAUUAAAAGCAAGCCUGACAUUUGUGUGUGGGAAAUAUUACCUUAUUCCUUAAGUGUGUUUGCUGAAAAUGCAACUCUGAGAAAUGCCUAAGUAAAGAAUAUCAGAGCCUUGCCUUUUUUGGGCAUACCCAGCAAAAAGGUGGAGGGGUGCUCAGGGCCCAUGAAUCGCCUCUUUCAACAUAGGGGAAUUUUUCUUAAUUUAUGACAAUUAAGAUGAUGAAAGCUAACAUUUCUCAGAAACUUACUAUACACCAGAAUCUAUGUGCACAUUCCAUGACAUAUAUUGUCUAAUUUGAUUUUCACAACCAUAUGAGGUAAAGAUGAUUAUUAUUACCUCAUUACAGGUGGUGAAAAUAGGUUCAGAGAAGUUAGGGAGCUUGCCUACAUUCACACAGCUAGCAAGUGAGCUAAUGAGUGGAGCUGGGAUUCCAACCUGGUUUGUCUGACAACAGAGCAAGUCAUAUUAACUGUUACUGAAGCUUUGACAGGUGGAGUCCAGAAGGCAGCAGUGAGUUGACCAAGGGCACACAGGGGUGUAGGAGGCAGAGUCAGGAUUUGAACUCAGGUCUUCUGACUCUCAGCCAUGGGAUCUUAAUAGUAAGAGUUUGUACUCCCACCCAAGCCUGGUCCUCCCUGGGGAUGGGUGCCUGGGGUGGAGGACGAGGAGCCUGGGUCUGGUGGAUCCCCUCUUGGUGGUUGGUGUUGGAGAGGGGUUCAGAGGAGGCAGGUCCCAGCCCCAGCUCUGCCUCCUUCUCUGCCCAGGCCAAGUGGAAGCGCCUGGUCUCAGAGGGCAGCACCCGUCUGGACAUGUUUGAGCACAUCAGCCUCAUGACCCUGGACAGUCUGCAGAAAUGUGUCUUCAGUUUUCACAGCAAUUGCCAGGAGUGAGUGCUUGCUCAGGACCUGGGAACAUGAACUGUAGACCCAAGGGAGUAGAUGGGGAGGGGAGGGAUGACCAGGGCAAUCAGAUGGGACUUCCUGGAGGAGAUGGAUCAGAGUUGUACAAAGAAGGACAAGGAAGGGAAAGAGAAAGAGUGAUCCUUUCAGGUAAGCAGAAAUGUUUGACAAAGGCCAAGGGACUAGGAUGAGUGAAGCAUGUGCCACAGUAAGGAGCCACCUUGGGAAUGAGAUUGGAAGGGUUGGCAGGAGCUAUAUCUUAAGGACAUUCAAAAUCCAGGCAAAAGGGUAUGAACUUUAUCUGAGGUUUGAGCAGGUGAGGGUCAUGGGCAAAGCUGUUCUUGGACAUCUGGGUCUGGAGAAGACCAACUGAUGUGUAGACAAUGGAUGGUGUGAAAUUGGAUGCAAGAUUAGAGAGGGGAUUGGGUCCAUUGACCAAAUGGGAGAAGAUGAAGUCUGAGCUGUAUGGAGAGAGAGGAGAGAAGCAUAAUGUGUCAGCUGGGUUCUGGGUUCAUGGAGGCAGCUCACAGAAAUGGGAAUCAGGGAGAGAAGAAAGUCUGGAGAGUCACGUGUCCUGGAUCAUCCCCACCAUGUAUCUGUGGGGCCAUCUGUUCCUGGAUACUCAGUUUUCUGAUGGGCUAUAUCUCCCAGCUGUUGGUAGCAGGCAUUUUCUCAGCCUUCAGGUGAGCUAAGUUGUUACUUUCUUUCAUGCCCUCAUCCUGUAGGAAGCCUAGUGAAUAUAUUGCUGCCAUCUUAGAGCUCAGUGCCCUUGUGGCAAAACGGCACCAGCAGAUCUUCAUGCACAUGGACUUCCUGUACUACCUCACUCCAGAUGGGCAACGCUUCCGCAGAGCCUGCCGCCUGGUGCACAACUUCACAGAUGCUGUCAUCCAGGAACGGCGCCGCACUCUCCCCGAUGACGGUGUUGAUGACUUCCUCAAGGCCAAGGCUAAGGCCAAGACUUUGGACUUCAUUGAUGUGCUCCUGCUGACCAAGGUGGGUUUCUCUGGGAUCUGGAUUCAAGAGGUAGAAAGGACCUUGAUUUCAUAUUUCAAAUUGAAGACUUAGACUUGAUCCAGAGGGCACUGGGGAGUCAUGGGUGGUGUUUGAGGAAAGGAGGGAUGGAUUAGGGAUAUGUUUUAGGGAUGACUUUAUGGAAUGUAACCUGCAGGGGACUGCUAAGUCUACAACUGUGAAGGGCCUGAGAUUUUACUCUACUUAAUAAGGUAGUCAUGCGUGUGUGUGUGUGUGUGUGUGUGUGUGCGCGUGUGUAUUUAUUUAUUUGUAUAUUAGAAUCCAGAGAAGCCCAUUUGUUACUCACGGAAAUAAGGGUGGCCAUAGAAUUGUAGCCAUGGUUCCUCAUUCUAAAAUUCUUCUGAGAGCUACAUGAUGCUUUUAUCUGUACAUGCAACCAACCAUGCUUCCAUCAUAGGAGAGGUACCUCUACAUUAUGAAUCUUGGAACUUAUAUAGGACUGCUGAUACAUCUGCCCCUUCUUCUUCUUCUUCUCCUCCUCCUCUGCCUAUGUCUUGUCUUCCUCCCCUCCCCUUCCCCCUCCUCCUCCCUUCCCCCCUCCUCCUUUUCUUUCUCCUUCUUUCUCUUUCUUCUCCUUCUCCUUCUCCUUCUGUGUGUGUGAGAAAGAGAGAGGGAAGUAGAGAAAAGUGUUUUGGAGUGUAAACCAAUUGUCUUCACCAAGAAGGCAAAGUCUACAGGUUCUGUUGGCUUAUCACCAGGGGAGAUAAGGAAUCUCUGGAUUUACUAUCCAAGAAUGAGAGCAAAUGGCUCCAGAGCAAUGCUCAUUUCCAACUUCCAAGGGAAGUUGUCAUUCAGUCUCCUGUAAUCCAGGUGGCCAAUAACUUCUUUCCAGUAAGUCCUCACCAUGUAGAAACAUGAAGAUAUUCAUGGAUCACUGAUCCCUCUCACCAGGGACAAAACAGGAGGCAAAGAGGCCACGGAGGAGAAGGCCUGUGGGGUGGGGCCUCUGGUAAUAGUUUCUGGAUGGAUUAUGGAGCUUCAGAGAUUGUCUCAAGUUAGGCUUAUGAGCUCUCAGAGUGGAUAUGAUUUGCUGUGUGUGCGGGCGGGUGGGGUGGAGUGGUCUUAUACUCUCUCCAGGACAAAGAUGGAAAACAAUUGUCAGAUGAGGAUAUCCGAGCUGAAGCUGACACCUUCAUGUUUGGGGGUAAGCAUCCCAGUGUGGGACUGCAGGGGGUAGGAGUCUGUCCAAUCCCGGGGACUUGGCAGGUGGGUCCUGGACCACCCCAUCCCACCCCAUCUUCCCCUUCCUCCCUGAGGGCCUCAACAGAGGGCGCUGUCCGCCCUCUGGUGCUGAACAAGCCCAGAGACCCAAGCCUGUCUGGCUGCCUCUCAGGCCAUGACACCACGGCCAGUGGUCUCUCCUGGGUCCUGUACAACCUCGCGAAGCACCCAGAGUAUCAGGAGCGCUGUCGGCAGGAGGUGCAAGAGCUCCUGAGGGACCGUGAGCCUAAAGAGAUUGAAUGGUGAGUGCAGGUCCUCAUGUCCUGUUCUGGAACCCCUCUCAUUGGCUCUGCUCCCCUGCUGGGGAAGGGGAAAGAACUUUUUGUUGAUUGUGUCAUUAUUGCUUAGAGAGACUAGGAGCAGAAUCCAGAGGCCGGGGUCUGGUACCUAGCCUGGAGAGCAGGGGAAAGUGACAGAAAGAUCUGGACUGCUAAGAGAAUUAUUGACAAUUAUGAAGGCAGAUGAUACCACUUAGCACAUAUUCUGUAAGUGAACUUCCACUCCACUCCCUUACUUUUCUCUCCUAAAUCACACUCUCUCUGCCCCCCAAAUAUCUUCACUCCCUGAGUUUUUGCUUGUCUCUUGCCUCCUAACUCCUUCAAAACUGUUCAGCCUAGGAUUCAUGGGGGACACCUAGGGAUUGAAAUCAUUCAGUUCUUGUCCAGGAACACCUUCAUUCAUCCUGUCCCCAUUCAGAGAACACUGCCGCACUGCCUUUCUGUCCCCAGUUGUGUGCCAUCUCCAAUUCUACCAGCCCAUUCUGUGUCCUAGAGCUCCAGCCUGCUGGGGGAAUAGACUCAGAUCAGGACACCCUGGGUCCACCCCCUGGGCAGGGAUAGGAUGGAGAGUAAGAGAGGCAAGGAUAAGAGUAGAGAGAGUGUCUCAGCUGAGACCCUGAGUGAUGAUCAGUAGGUGUUUGGGUACAGUUGGGGUGCAGUUAAUUCAAGAGGACAGGGUGGACAAAAGGGAAGGGGAGGGGAGGAAUGGAAGAGGGAGAGGGAGAAGAGAGAGGGAAGGAGGGAGACAGGGAGAGAGAGAGAGAGAGAGAGAGAGAGAGAGAGAGACUUAAGUAGGCUCCAUGCUUACUGGAGAGGACGACAUAGGACUCCAUCACUUGAACCUUGAGAUCAUGACCUGAGAUUCAAUCAAGAGUCGGACACUCAACAAACUGAACCACCCAGGCACCCCCAGGAAGAUCUUUCUAGGGCUAGUGUGGGAAACAUACUGGAGAGGACAAGCUGUUGCAUGGGGACCAGGAAAAUGAUUCUGAGGCCUGGGACAGGCCAGGGUCUGGGGGAUGUUGAAGAGGCAUUGGACUGGACAGGCAUUUUUUACGUAAUAUUUUCCACUCCAAGCCUUCGCUCAGCACAGCAGUCCUGUGAGGUAGGGAAAUAUUUUUAAGCUUUUUCAACAAGACUUCAAACAAAAUUAUACACUUGGUAAAAAAAAAAAAAACUAUACAAAACAGAGUUUAGAGUAGAAAUGAAUUUUUUUUUUUAAAUUUUUUUUUCAACGUUUAUUUUUAUUUUUGGGACAGAGAGAGACAGAGCAUGAACGGGGGAGGGGCAGAGAGAGAGGGAGACACAGAAUCGGAAACAGGCUCCAGGCUCCGAGCCAUCAGCCCAGAGCCUGACGCGGGGCUCGAACUCACGGACCGCGAGAUCGUGACCUGGCUGAAGUCGGACGCUUAACCGACUGCGCCACCCAGGCGCCCCGAAAUGAACUUUUAAAAAAAUCCUUGCCCUAGGAGGAACACUUGUCAGUGAUUUUCUGUGUAUCCUUCCAGAAGACAUCUAUCUUUAUACCCACAUUUAUAUGAAAACUAUCUCCUCUCCCCUUCCAAGUGGGAAUUAAGGUCUACACAUUAACAACAUAUCCUUGAGAUCUCUUCCUUUUCCCAGAAUAUGAGUUUUUGAAAAAUAGUUUUGAAUUACAAAAGCAAUGAUGAGAACAAGUUCUUCUUGUUCUGAGACGUUACAAAGGAGACUAUGGUUAUCAUUAACAUCCUCCCCUGCCAACUUAAUCCCCUUUCUGUCUCCUGAGGGGUUUUUAAACUUUUAGACUCAUUGAUUUGCUAUGUCUCUUUCCAUAAUUAUCUAUCUAUCUAUCUAUUAUCUAUCAAUAACUAUCUAUCAUCUACCUAUGUAUCAUCCAUCUAUCUAUCAUCUAUAUCAUCUAUCUAUCAUCUAUCUAUCAUCUACUAUCAUCCAUUAUCUAUCUAUCUAUCUAUCUAUCUAUCAUCUAUCUAUCAUCUAUUAUCCAUCAUCUAUCUAUCACCUAUAUCACCUAUCUAUCACCUAUCUAUCAUCUAUCAUCUAUAUAAUCUUUUUGUCCAUUAACACAUUUUGCAUUUCCAUAUACAUACUGUUUGUAACUUGUUCCAUUCACUCAAAAGUGUGUCUUAUAGCUCCUUCUCUCUGUGUGCUGCAAAGCUUUCAGUGGUUUACUUGGUUCACCCCUUUGUUAAGGACCCUUAUGUUAGUAUUCUCAAUUAGAGUAGACAUUGCUGAAUUGCUUUCCAGAGUCUCUGUUUUGAUUUUCCUUUCAUCCUACAGUGUGUGAUAGGACUUGUGAACCAUAUUCCCCGCAUUCAUCCAUUCAUUCAUUCAGUGAUAGAGAUGGAAAGUGCAAGCAGAGGAGGGGCAGAGAAAGAAUCCCAAGCAGAGCCCAAUGCAGAGCCAAUGCCCACUGCCCAUGCAGAGCCCAAUGUGGGACUUUGACCCAUGAAUUGUGAGAUAAUGCCCUGAGCUGAGACCAAGAGUUGGAGGCUUAACUGACUGAGCCACUUAGGUGUCCCCCAUAUUCCUCCUUUAAAAAUUAAAAACAAUUUUUUAUUUGUGUGAGAGAGAGCAUGCAAGCAGGAAAGAGGAGUAAGGAAGAGGGUGAGAGAGAGAAUCUCAAGCAGGCUCCAUGCUCAGCACAGAGCCCAGUGCUUGAUCCCACAAGCUUAGGAUCAUGACCUGAGCUGAAAUCAAGAGUUGGAUGCUCAACCAACUGAACCACCCAGGUGCCCCCUACUUCCUCCUGUUUUGAUUGCUGUGUGAUAUUCUAACAUAUGGCUGUACUAUAAUUUCUCUUAACAUCUCCCAUUGAUGGGUAUUUGGAUUGUUUCUACUUUUUUACUAAAACAAACAAUAAGUUAGCAUCUGUGAACACUGGGCCGCACUUACACAUGUAAAUGUCUCUCCACUGCAAAUUUCCGGAAGGACAAUUGCUGAGUCAAAGACAGUUUCAGUUUUUGUCAUCUUAAUAGCUAUUUCAGAUCUGUUCCUAUCAGCUGAAUUUGAUGUUACCACCUUUCCCAUACCUAUAGAAUUAUUGUAUUGAAUUUUAAAUCUUUGCCAAUUUUUCAUAUUUCCUCUUUUAAUGAAUAUUUAUUUAAAUAAGGGGUUGAACAUCUUUUGCACAUUUUGGGGGCUACUCCCAACAUUUCAAAUACUGAGGUAUCAUUUAUAUACAUCAUAUUAGUUUCAGGUGUACAAACAGUGAGUUGAUAUUUGUAUAUAUUACAAAAUGAUCACCACAAUUAGUUUGCUGACAUUUUUCACCAUACAUAAUUACAGAAUUUUUUUUCUUGUGAUGAGAACUUUUAAGAUCUACUCUCUUAGCGACUUCCAAAUAUACAAUACAGCAGUAUUAACCACAAUAUUAUUAAUUAUAGUCAACUAUAGCCAAUACAGUAUUAUUAACUAAAAUACAGUAACUAUGUAAUGCUGUACAUUACAUCCCUAUGACUUAAUUAUUUUAUAACUGAAAGUUAUCCUUCACCCAUUUGCUUACCUACACCCCCACCCCCACCCCUCACAACAACCAACCUAUUCUCUGUAUCUAGGAGCCUGUUUUUGUUGUUGUUUGUUCGUUUCUUCAGAUUCUACACAUAAGUUAGAUCAUACAGUGCUUGUCUUUCUCUUUCUGACUUAUUUCACUUAGCACAAUGCCCUUAAGAUCCCUCCAUGUUGUCUCAAAUGGCAAGAUGUCUUUUUAUGGCUGAGUAAUAUUCCACUGCAUGUAUAUAUCACAUUUUCUUUAUCCAUUCACCUAUUGAUGGACGCAGCUGUUUUUCAUAGCCUUGGCUAUUAUAAAUAAUGUUGCAAUGAACAUAAGUUUACGUAUAUCUUUUUGAGUUAGUGCUUUCAUCUUCUUUGGAUAACUACCCAGAAGUGAGAUUGCUGGAUAGCAUGAUAGUUGUAGUUUUUAAUUUUUUUGAGGAAACUUCGUACUAUUUUCCACAGUGGCUGCAUGAAUUUAAAAUCCCACCAACAGUGCCCAGGGUUCCUUUUUCUCCACAUCCUCAUCAGCAUUUGUUAUUUCUUGUCUUUUUGGUAAUAGCCGUGCUAACAGCUGUGAGGUGUGAGGUGAUUUUUCCUUGCGGUUUUGACUUGGAUUUCCCUGAUAAUUAAUGAUUUUGAGCAUCUUUUCAUGUACUUAUUCAUAAUUUGUGUGUCUCUUUAAAAAAAUGUCUAUUCAGGGGUGCCUGGGUGGCUCAGUCAGUUGAACGUCUGACUCUUGAUUUCAGCUCAGGUCACGAUCCCAGGGUCAUGGGACUGAGACCCGCACUGAGCUCUGUGCUGAACGUGGAGCCUGCUUGAGAUUCUCUCUCUCUCUCUCUCUCUCUCUCUCUCUCCCCCCCUCUCUCCCUCUCUCCCCCUUUGCCACUCUUCCACACUGUCCCCUGCCUCCCCUCUAAAAAAAUAAAUAAAAAUAAAAUGUUUAUUCUGAUCAUUCUUCUGCAUACAUUGAUAAGCCAUUUGUAUUUCUUGUUAUGUGAUUAGUACUCAUCUUUAUUUUUCUCUUUGAGUUUUUCUCUUUUUUUCAUAUUUACUUACAAUAACUCAUUUAAAGAUUGCCUUUUGACUUUUGAGGGGCACUUCUAGUUAAUUGUUAUGGAGACAGAUUUGUCCAAAUUUUCUUUUACAGUCAUACUGUCUAGCCUUAUGCUAGGGUUUUGUGGGCUUUUCUUACCAGAUGUUAGGGCUUCACUUACUUGUCUCUCCUGUUCCAUGGGUCUAUUUUCCUAUUUUUGCAGCAAUGCCACACUGUUUUUUGUUUGUUUGUGUGUUUGUUUGUUUUAUCACUGCAUCUUUGUAAUAAGUCUUUUUUUCUUUAAAAUUUUUUUUAAUGUUUAUUUAUUUUUGAGACAGAGAGAGACAGAGCAUGAAUGGGGGAGGGUCAGAGAGAGGGAGACACAGAAUCUGAAACAGGCUCCAGGCUCUGAGCUGCCAGCACAGAGCCCGACGCGGGGCUCAAACUCACGGACCGUGAGAUCAUGACCUGAGCCGAGGUCGGCUGCUUAACCGACUGAGCCACCCAGGUGCCCCUGUAAUAAGUCUUAAUACCUGGUAGAGUGAGUUCCUUUUCUUUAAUAUUUCACUAAAUAUUUUUUCUUUAAUGGUUAUUUAUUUUUGAGAGAGAUAGAGAGAGAGCAGGGAAGGGACAGAGAGGGAGACACAAAAUCUGAAGCAGGAUCCAGGCUCUAAACUGUCAGCACAGAGCCUGAUGUGGGGCUUGAACUCAUAAACCGUGAGAUCAUGACCUGAGCUGAAAUUGGCCAUUUAACUGACCAAGCCACCCAGGUGCCUCUUUAAUAUUUCAUUUUUAAAAUGACCUAGCACUUCAUGAUCUUCUAUUCUUUUGGAAACGUUUUGGAUUAAGUUUAUCAAAUUCUUAAAACUACCAGGUAGAUUUUCAUUUGAAUUGAACAUAUUCUAUAGGUUGACUUGAAUAUAUGAUUGACUUGUGGAAAACAGAUUACUUCAUAAUAUGAAUGCAUACCAUUCUAGAAUGUGGAAGAAAUACCCCAUUUUUGGAUACUGAAAUACUCUUUAGUCUUUUAAUAAAGUCCAAAAUUUUUCUUAGAGAUCUUAUACAUUUUUGGUUAAAUUAACCCUAAGAUAUAUUUUUUAAUGUUUAUUUUUGAGAGAGAGAGAGAGAGAGAGCAAGUGCAUGCUCUAGUGGGGGAGGGGGAGGCAGAGGAUCUGAAGUGAGCUCUGUGCUGACAGCAGAGAGCCUGAUGUGGGACUUGAACUCACGAGGACUGAGAUCAUGACCUCAGCCAAAGAUGGACACUUAAAUGACUGAGCCACCCAGGCACCACAACCCUAAGAUACUUUCAUUGCUAUGGUGAAUCAUAUCUUCUAUUGGGAUUGAGAGAAGUUUAUAAAUUCAUUUGGAAUAUAGAGAUUUCAUAUCUAAGUUUAAUCCAGGUAUUUAUUUCUUCUUCUUCUUCUUCUUCUUCUUCUUCUUCUUCUUCUUCUUUUUCUUUUAUUUUUUCUAAUUAGUUGUUAUUUCAACAUAGAAAAACAAUUUUUUCAUUUGCAUAUACAUUUUGUGCCAGUGAACAUAGUAAAUACUAAGUAUGGAGUCUUGUAUCCAAAAACAUGUUUUCAAUAAAAGCUUUUGGAACAACUGGGGAGCUAUCCAGAAAAAACUUAACUCAACCUGCUUUUCAUGUAUUGUAACAUGACAACAUCAGGAUGGAAUCAAAUAUUUAAAAAUUUUUAAUGUUUAUUUAUUUUUGAGAGAGAGAGAGAGAAAGAGAGAGCACGAGUGGGGGAGAAGCAGAGAGGAGAGGGAGACACAGAAUCUGAAGCAGGCUCCAGGCUCUGAGUUGUCAGCACAGAGCCUGGUGUGGGGCUCAAACUCACAAACCAUGAGAUCAUGACCUGAGCCGAAGUUGGAUGCUUAACCUACUGAGCCACGCAGGUGCCCCAGGAUGGAAUCAAAUUUAAAAUAAAAAAUAAAAGUGCCUUAAACGCUUUAGAGAAAACUGUGGGAAAUUAUUUUAUAGCUCCAUAAUAAGGAAGCCCUUAUUUUUGACAAAAGUGCCAGGAAAUAUACAAGAAGAGAUUGCUGUACUGUUGCCUGAAAAAGAUAAAGAGCAGUGUGUAUAGUAUAUAGUAUGCUACUGUAUAAUUUUUUUAAUGCAAAAAAGUAGCUCUGGAAGAAUACAUUAAAAAAAAAAAAAAAGAACCUAGGCAAACUGUGAGGAUGGGAAAUGAGUGAGUUGAGUCGUAAGAAUGGUGUUUUAUAAUUUUCCAGUUUUGAGCCAGUUAACUAUAUCAUUAAAAUUUACAUCACCACACAAAUUGAAGGGGAUUAAAGAAAAAGAAUUCACCCCCACACCCCCUUACUGGAUCUUCAAUGUUUAUAAAAGGUUUCUGGUGUAUUCUCUUGUGUUUUCUAAGCAUAGAAUCACUAUCUGCCAACAAUGACACACUUACCCCCACAUUUCAGAUUGCCUUACUCUCUUUUUUUCUUGUCUAAUUGCAUUAGCUAGGAUCUCUAGUACCAUGAGAAAUAAAACAUUGGAUCUCUUUCUUUUGUUUCCUACUCAUUGCCUUUUGAUUUUGCUCUCUUGCAGUAAACAAUAUUUAAUUUUUAUGCAAAAUCGUAAACCUUUUUGUGGUUGGAUUUUUGGUCUUGUGCUUUGGACAGAAAACCUUCUAAAAAUACCCAGCUAAAUUUCCUCUCCUAUUUCUGUGAUACUGAUCUUCUUUUCCAAAUACCACUUUAUCGAGGUGUGAUGGACACAUUAAAAAGCUGUACAUCUUUAAGGCGCACAACUUAAUGGGUUUGGAGAUAUUUGAUCCAUCUGGAAUUUAUUUCGUUAUAGGGAGAGAUGAUCUCAUGGGGCAGUAGAGAACUGGGGUGGGGGUGGGGGGUAAGGGUCUCUGUUUUUGCUCCCUGGAUAACUGUUGCGGGGCGGGGGUGGGGAGGGGUCCUUAGGGACGACCUAGCCCAGUUGCCUUUCCUGACCAUGUGCAUCAAGGAGAGUCUGCGGUUGCACCCCCCGGUCACAGUCGUCUCCCGCUGCUGUACCCAGGACGUCGUGCUCCCAGAUGGCCGGGUUAUCCCCAAAGGU
This 15469-nucleotide long non-coding RNA is filed under the name Lynx pardinus (Iberian lynx). Lineage: Eukaryota; Metazoa; Chordata; Mammalia; Carnivora; Felidae. The record is from RNAcentral.